RNAcentral lists this long non-coding RNA (347 nucleotides) under Brassica napus (rape). RNAcentral's name for it is "long non-coding RNA (BNAP_LNC001693)". The record is from RNAcentral. Lineage: Eukaryota; Viridiplantae; Streptophyta; Magnoliopsida; Brassicales; Brassicaceae.
UGAAUCGGGUGUCUAGUACUUUGUGUUGUUUUGGUGUACUUGUUUUGGUUUUGUUGAUCGUGAAUUAAUUUUGGGGUGUUUAGUUUGUCUACUUGUCUUCGUGGUAAAGCUUAAUUGAUGUUGCUAUGCGGUUUGCAUUUGGAGUGAUUGAGUUGUUGUUGUUGUAACGUCUUGUACAUGAAUUAGGUAUUACUUAGACAACUUGUAAGUAAAUAUUACCUUACAAGUUGUUUGAGCAUGUUUCCAUAGUAAUACAAGUUGUCUAAGUAAUACCUAAUUCUUUUCACAUUUACGACCUAAUUAUUUUUUUAGGACGAUGCUAUUCGGAUUAAACCACUACUAUUAUU